CCUACGGGUGGCAGCAGUGGGGAAUAUUGGACAAUGGGCGAAAGCCUGAUCCAGCCAUGCCGCGUGUGUGAAGAAGGCCUUCGGGUUGUAAAGCACUUUCAGUGGGGAAGAAAGCCUUGGGGCUAAUACCCUCGAGGAAGGACAUCACCCACAGAAGAAGCACCGGCUAACUCCGUGCCAGCAGCCGCGGUAAUACGGAGGGUGCGAGCGUUAAUCGGAAUUACUGGGCGUAAAGCGCGCGUAGGCGGUCUGAUAAGCCGGUUGUGAAAGCCCCGGGCUCAACCUGGGAACGGCAUCCGGAACUGUCAGGCUAGAGUGUAGGAGAGGAAGGUAGAAUUCCCGGUGUAGCGGUGAAAUGCGUAGAGAUCGGGAGGAAUACCAGUGGCGAAGGCGGCCUUCUGGACUGACUCUGACGCUGAGGUGCGAAAGCGUGGGUAGCAAACAGGAUUAGAUACCCGAGUAGUC
Molecule: ribosomal RNA, 465 nt
Filed under: Vreelandella stevensii
Lineage: Bacteria; Pseudomonadati; Pseudomonadota; Gammaproteobacteria; Oceanospirillales; Halomonadaceae
Description: partial 16S ribosomal RNA
Rfam family: Bacterial small subunit ribosomal RNA
Source: RNAcentral